UACGUAGGGUGCAAGCGUUAUCCGGAAUUAUUGGGCGUAAAGAGCUCGUAGGCGGUUUGUCGCGUCUGCUGUGAAAACCCGAGGCUCAACCUCGGGCCUGCAGUGGGUACGGGCAGACUAGAGUGCGGUGGGGGAGAUUGGAAUUCCUGGUGUAGCGGUGGAAUGCGCAGAUAUCAGGAGGAACACCGAUGGCGAAGGCAGAUCUCUGGGCCGUAACUGACGCUGAGGAGCGAAAGCGUGGGGAGCGAACAGG
This 253-nucleotide ribosomal RNA is filed under the name uncultured bacterium. RNAcentral's name for it is "partial 16S ribosomal RNA". It matches the Rfam family "Bacterial small subunit ribosomal RNA", at positions 524 to 776 of the family's 1533-position model. The record is from RNAcentral.